UAAGGAAUAUUGGACAAUGGACGCAAGUCUGAUCCAGCCAUGCCGCGUGAAGGAUGAAUGCCCUCUGGGUUGUAAACUUCUUUUAUAGGGGAAGAAAGAUACUUUUUUUAAGGUAGUUGACGGUACCCUAUGAAUAAGCACCGGCUAACUCCGUGCCAGCAGCCGCGGUAAUACGGAGGGUGCAAGCGUUAUCCGGAUUUACUGGGUUUAAAGGGUGCGUAGGCGGGCAUGUAAGUCAGUGGUGAAAUACCGGAGCUUAACUUCGGAACUGCCAUUGAUACUAUAUGUCUUGAAUUAUCUUGAGGUAAGCGGAAUACGCCAUGUAGCGGUGAAAUGCUUAGAUAUGACAUAGAACACCAAUUGCGAAGGCAGCUUACUACAUAUAAAUUGACGCUGAGGCACGAAAGCGUGGGGAUCAAACA
Molecule: ribosomal RNA, 422 nt
Filed under: uncultured bacterium
Lineage: Bacteria
Description: bacterial SSU rRNA
Rfam family: Bacterial small subunit ribosomal RNA
Source: RNAcentral